RNAcentral lists this unclassified non-coding RNA (344 nucleotides) under Hevea brasiliensis (rubber tree). Lineage: Eukaryota; Viridiplantae; Streptophyta; Magnoliopsida; Malpighiales; Euphorbiaceae. The record is from RNAcentral.
AAAAUUUUUGGAUCGUGAGACCAGUGGAUAAUGGGAUCUUUCACAAGUUUCUAGUUGAAACUUUUUAUUUGCUUUGCCCCUAGAGAUCAAAGAAUACAACAAACACAUUAGCUUUUUUUUUUCCCGCUUUACUUUGUCAUAGUUCUGUCUCUAAUAAUGAAAAAUUAGUUUUCACAAUACAAGCAAGUUGGAAAUUAUUAUACUGUGGUUAUAAAAUUUGACUUCCCUAUGAAUCUAAUUAGUGGUUGUGAAUAACCUUCCAGGCACCAUUCUUUGCCCUUGUAUUUCCUGAUCUGUUUAGCCUAAAAUUAGCAGUUACGUAUUUUUUUAUUUUUGUGUUGCAU